RNAcentral lists this ribosomal RNA (523 nucleotides) under uncultured bacterium. RNAcentral's name for it is "partial 16S ribosomal RNA". It matches the Rfam family "Bacterial small subunit ribosomal RNA", at positions 28 to 523 of the family's 1533-position model. The record is from RNAcentral.
GACGAACGCUGGCGGCGUGCCUGAUACAUGCAAGUCGAACGCUUUUUCUUUCACCGGAGCUUGCUCCACCGAAAGAAAAAGAGUGGCGAACGGGUGAGUAACACGUGGGUAACCUGCCCAUCAGAAGGGGAUAACACUUGGAAACAGGUGCUAAUACCGUAUAACACUAUUUUCCGCAUGGAAGAAAGUUGAAAGGCGCUUUUGCGUCACUGAUGGAUGGACCCGCGGUGCAUUAGCUAGUUGGUGAGGUAACGGCUCACCAAGGCAACGAUGCAUGGCCGACCUGAGAGGGUGAUCGGCCACACUGGGACUGAGACACGGCCCAGACUCCUACGGGAGGUAGCAGUAGGGAAUCUUCGGCAAUGGACGAAAGUCUGACCGAGCAACGCCGCGUGAGUGAAGAAGGUUUUCGGAUCGUAAAACUCUGUUGUUAGAGAAGAACAAGGAUGAGAGUAAAACGUUCAUCCCUUGACGGUAUCUAACCAGAAAGCCACGGCUAACUACGUGCCAGCAGCCGCCGUAA